This 512-nucleotide ribosomal RNA is filed under the name uncultured bacterium. RNAcentral describes it as "bacterial SSU rRNA". It matches the Rfam family "Bacterial small subunit ribosomal RNA", at positions 17 to 518 of the family's 1533-position model. The record is from RNAcentral.
UUAUGGCUCAGGAUGAACGCUAGCUACAGGCUUAACACAUGCAAGUCGAGGGGCAGCAUGGUCUUAGCUUGCUAAGGCUGAUGGCGACCGGCGCACGGGUGAGUAACGCGUAUCCAACCUACCCCAUAGUAGGGCAUAGCCCGUAGAAAUGCGGAUUAAUACCCUAUGUUUUCCGAAGAGGACAUCUGACUUGGAACAAAGAUUCAUCGCUAUGGGAUGGGGAUGCGUCCGAUUAGCUUGUUGGCGGGGUGACGGCCCACCAAGGCGACGAUCGGUAGGGGUUCUGAGAGGAAGGUCCCCCACACUGGUACUGAGACACGGACCAGACUCCUACGGGAGGCAGCAGUGAGGAAUAUUGGUCAAUGGGCGAGAGCCUGAACCAGCCAAGUAGCGUGCAGGAAGACGGCCCUACGGGUUGUAAACUGCUUUUAUCAGGGGAUAAAGUGUGGGACGCGUCCCUCAUUGCAGGUACCUGAUGAAUAAGGACCGGCUAAUUCCGUGCCAGCCGCCGC